UACGUAGGGUGCAAGCGUUGUCCGGAAUUACUGGGUGUAAAGGGUCUUCAGGCGGGCAAAUAAGUCGGUGGUGAAAUCCCGUUGCUUAACGACGGGACUGCCUCCGAAACUGUAUGUCUUGAGUUCGAGAGAGGGUAAUAGAAUUCAUGGUGUAGCGGUGAAAUGCGUAGAUAUCAUGAAGAAUACCAGUAGCGAAGGCGUUUACCUGGCUCGAUACUGACGCUCAAGGACGAAAGCGUGGGGAG
This 245-nucleotide ribosomal RNA is filed under the name uncultured bacterium. RNAcentral describes it as "partial 16S ribosomal RNA". It matches the Rfam family "Bacterial small subunit ribosomal RNA", at positions 524 to 768 of the family's 1533-position model. The record is from RNAcentral.